CCCUGAGAUAUCCAGCAGUGCUUCGGAUCACCUUAGAUGGAUCCAUGCAUCUCUUUGACACAUCGGAGAAGGCAAGAGACUUUGUGGACAAACUAACCUAAGUUAAGCAAUUGUAUGUAUGUAUAAAUGUUGUUGGAGGAGAAAGUGAGGACUGCAGAUGCUGGAGAUCAGAG
This is a non-coding RNA of Chiloscyllium plagiosum (whitespotted bambooshark), 173 nucleotides long. Lineage: Eukaryota; Metazoa; Chordata; Chondrichthyes; Orectolobiformes; Hemiscylliidae. The record is from RefSeq and is a predicted model, not a curated record.